Molecule: long non-coding RNA, 411 nt
Filed under: Cyanistes caeruleus (blue tit)
Lineage: Eukaryota; Metazoa; Chordata; Aves; Passeriformes; Paridae
Description: lncRNA (ENSCCEG00000020982.1)
Source: RNAcentral
AACAUAAGGCAACUAGGGAUACAAGCAUCACAGAGUCACCACGUGACAGUAGGGCAAGGGGAACUUGGCUUCAAAAUCUAAGAAGAUAUAUUUAGAUGAGAUAUUAGGAAGAAAUUUUUCCUUGUGAGGAUGAUGAGGUUCUGGCACAGGCUGUCCAGAGAAGUUGUGGCUGUCCCAUCCCUGGAAGUGUCCAAGGCCAGGUUGGAUGGGGCCUGGAGGAAUCUGAUCUGGUGGAAGGAGUCCCUGGCCAUGGAGGGUUGGAACUCCUCAGUCUCUGAGGUCCCUUCCAACCAUUCUAGGGUUCCAUGGAAUGCUGCACACUCACAGCUCCAACUUGGUGCUUUGCAUCUUGGCAUUUCAGAGGCAUGGAGGAAAUCAUCCCAAGCAAUUCAUUCAGAUAUCUCCUAUUGA